GACUACUCUCCUCUGCUAGGAUUGAUAGAUUCCAUCUAGGUGCGCACCAUACUCUUAUAGUGGACCAACUGUCGCCAACAUCUACUACAAAGACUCAUUGAGUUAAUAUUUAUAGGUAGUCAAACUCUAGCAGCCUCACUGUAAGCAGCUGUGGCACCGCAGAUCAAAAGACCAGUCACACUACCGCAGCAUCGAGAAAGUCACUAACGAAUGAGCAGACAUCCAUGUAACUUCUCGUGUUGGUCACGC
This 249-nucleotide long non-coding RNA is filed under the name Elaeis guineensis (African oil palm). RNAcentral describes it as "long non-coding RNA (EGUI_LNC036135)". Lineage: Eukaryota; Viridiplantae; Streptophyta; Magnoliopsida; Arecales; Arecaceae. The record is from RNAcentral.